GGACCUGUAGCUCAGUUAGGUAGAGCAGUGGACUUUUAAUCCGCGUGUCGGGGGUUCGAUUCCCCCCAGGUCCU
This 74-nucleotide transfer RNA is filed under the name Gammaproteobacteria bacterium. Its description in RNAcentral is "tRNA-Lys". It matches the Rfam family "tRNA". From Rfam's summary of the family: Transfer RNA (tRNA) molecules are approximately 80 nucleotides in length. Their secondary structure includes four short double-helical elements and three loops (D, anti-codon, and T loops). The record is from RNAcentral. Lineage: Bacteria; Pseudomonadati; Pseudomonadota; Gammaproteobacteria.